RNAcentral lists this ribosomal RNA (253 nucleotides) under uncultured bacterium. Its description in RNAcentral is "partial 16S ribosomal RNA". It matches the Rfam family "Bacterial small subunit ribosomal RNA", at positions 524 to 776 of the family's 1533-position model. The record is from RNAcentral.
UACGGAGGGUGCUAGCGUUGUUCGGAAUUACUGGGCGUAAAGGGCGCGUAGGCGGCCGUUUGCGUCGGAUGUGAAAGCCCGGGGCUCAACCUCGGAACGGCAUUCGAUACGGGACGGCUGGAGACCGGGAGAGGAGAGUGGAAUAGCCAGUGUAGAGGUGAAAUUCGUAGAUAUUGGCUGGAACACCGGUGGCGAAAGCGGCUCUCUGGCCCGGUUCUGACGCUGAGGCGCGAAAGCUAGGGUAGCAAACGGG